CCUACGGGUGGCAGCAGUGGGGAAUAUUGGUCAAUGGGCGCUAGCCUGAACCAGCCACGUAGCGUGAAGGAUGACUGCCCUAUGGGUUGUAAACUUCUUUUAUAUGGGAAUAAAGUGCAGUAUGUAUACUGCUUUGCAUGUACCUUCUGAAUAAGGAUCGGCUAACUCCGUGCCAGCAGCCGCGGUAAUACGGAGGUUCCGAGCGUUAUCCGGAUUUAUUGGGUUUAAAGGGAGCGUAGGCGGGUUGUUAAGUCAGUUGUGAAAGUUUGCGGCUCAACCGUGAAAUUGCAGUUGAUACUGGGAUGCUGGAGUGCAGUAGAGGUAGGCGGAAUUCGUGGUGUAGCGGUGAAAUGCGUAGAUAUCACGAAGAACUCCGAUUGCGAAGGCAGCCUACUGGACUGUAACUGACGCUGAGGCUCGAAAGUGUGGGUAUCAAACAGGAUUAGAUACCCGAGUAGUC
RNAcentral lists this ribosomal RNA (460 nucleotides) under uncultured bacterium. RNAcentral's name for it is "partial 16S ribosomal RNA". It matches the Rfam family "Bacterial small subunit ribosomal RNA", at positions 338 to 795 of the family's 1533-position model. The record is from RNAcentral.